UCUAAUAUGGCAGAUUAGUGCGAUGAACUUAAGAUUCAUUUAUGAUUAUUAUUAAUCUUUUAGAA
RNAcentral lists this transfer RNA (65 nucleotides) under Membranacea stenoprocessa. Its description in RNAcentral is "tRNA-Leu". Lineage: Eukaryota; Metazoa; Arthropoda; Insecta; Hemiptera; Cicadellidae. The record is from RNAcentral.